GGUGGCUCAGUGUAGAGUGCUUGCCUUGUAUGCAUGAGGCCCAAUGAGGUUCAAUUCCUCAGCACCA
RNAcentral lists this transfer RNA (67 nucleotides) under Dipodomys ordii (Ord's kangaroo rat). It matches the Rfam family "tRNA". From Rfam's summary of the family: Transfer RNA (tRNA) molecules are approximately 80 nucleotides in length. Their secondary structure includes four short double-helical elements and three loops (D, anti-codon, and T loops). Further hydrogen bonds mediate the characteristic L-shaped molecular structure. tRNAs have two regions of fundamental functional importance: the anti-codon, which is responsible for specific mRNA codon recognition, and the 3' end, to which the tRNAs corresponding amino acid is attached (by aminoacyl-tRNA synthetases). tRNAs cope with the degeneracy of the genetic code in two manners: having more than one tRNA (with a specific anti-codon) for a particular amino acid; and 'wobble' base-pairing, i.e. permitting non-standard base-pairing at the 3rd anti-codon position. The record is from Rfam by way of RNAcentral. Lineage: Eukaryota; Metazoa; Chordata; Mammalia; Rodentia; Heteromyidae.